Molecule: small nucleolar RNA, 103 nt
Filed under: Callithrix jacchus (white-tufted-ear marmoset)
Lineage: Eukaryota; Metazoa; Chordata; Mammalia; Primates; Cebidae
Description: Small nucleolar RNA U13 (ENSCJAG00000059993.2)
Rfam family: Small nucleolar RNA U13
Source: Rfam by way of RNAcentral
AUCCUUUUGUAGUUUGUAAACAGGAUGAUAGGGUUUUCACAUUUAUUAUGAGAUGUGCUUCCCUCCAACCUUGUUAUGAUGUUGAUGUAUUAUCCGUCUGAUG